Molecule: ribosomal RNA, 533 nt
Filed under: uncultured eukaryote
Lineage: Eukaryota
Description: bacterial SSU rRNA
Rfam family: Eukaryotic small subunit ribosomal RNA
Source: RNAcentral
UAGUCAUAUGCUUGUCUUAAAGAUUAAGCCAUGCAUGUCUAAGUAUAAGCAUUUAUACUGUGAAACUGCGAAUGGCUCAUUAAACCAGUUAUUGUUUAUUUGAUAGUACCAACCACUUGGAUAACUGUAGUAAUUCUAGAGCUAAUACAUGCUAAAAGUCCCGACUGGUAACGGAAGGGAUGUAUUUACCAGCAUUAAAACCAAUGCAGGGUCCCCCCUGGUUUUCUGCUGAGGCAUGGUAACUGCUCGAAUCGUAUGGCCUUGUGCCGACGAUGAUUCAUUCAAAUUUCUGACCUAUCAACUUUGGAUUGUAGUGUAUUGGACUACAAUGGUUUUGACGGGUAACGGAGAAUUAGGGUUCGGUUCCGGAGAGGGAGCCUGAGAAAUGGCUACCACUUCCAAGGAAGGCAGCAGGCGCGUAAAUUACCCACUGGCGAUACGCCGAGGUAGUGACAAUAAAUAACAAUGCGGGCGGUGACAAGCCGCUCGCAAUUGGAAUGRGUACAAUCUAAACCCCUUAACGAGGAACAAUU